This 449-nucleotide ribosomal RNA is filed under the name Megascolides n. sp. 10 TRB-2010. Its description in RNAcentral is "partial 16S ribosomal RNA". It matches the Rfam family "Bacterial large subunit ribosomal RNA", at positions 1859 to 2597 of the family's 2925-position model. Lineage: Eukaryota; Metazoa; Annelida; Clitellata; Crassiclitellata; Megascolecidae. The record is from RNAcentral.
CUGCCCAGUGAAUGAUAUUCAACGGCCGCGGUAUCCUAACCGUGCAAAGGUAGCAUAAUAACUUGCCUAUUAAUUGUAGGCUAGAAUGAACGGGAUAACGAAAUAAAAACUGUCUCAAUUAGUUAACUAAAAAUUAUCCUCUAUAUAAAGAAAAAUAGAUAAAUUCGAAGGACAAGAAGACCCUAUAGAGCUUUAUUUUGUACGUAAAUAAUACUACACAAAAUCGGUUGGGGCGACCAGGGGAAUACUAAACACCCCUAAAUGAAAAGAUAUUUAUAUCCACUUAUUGACCCUUCAAAGAUCAAAAGACCAAGCUACCUUAGGGAUAACAGACUAAUCCCAUUUAAGAGUUCAUAUCUACAAUGGGGUUUGGCACCUCGAUGUUGGCUUAGGGUAUCUACAUAGCGCAAAAGUUAUAUAAAGAUGGUUUGUUCAACCAAUAAUUCCCU